ACACUCCUACGGGAGGCAGCAGUGGGGAAUUUUGGACAAUGGGCGAAAGCCUGAUCCAGCCAUGCCGCGUGCAGGAUGAAGGCCUUCGGGUUGUAAACUGCUUUUGUACGGAACGAAACGGCCUUUUCUAAUAAAGAGGGCUAAUGACGGUACCGUAAGAAUAAGCACCGGCUAACUACGUGCCAGCAGCCGCGGUAAUACGUAGGGUGCAAGCGUUAAUCGGAAUUACUGGGCGUAAAGCGUGCGCAGGCGGUUAUGUAAGACAGUUGUGAAAUCCCCGGGCUCAACCUGGGAACUGCAUCUGUGACUGCAUAGCUAGAGUACGGUAGAGGGGGAUGGAAUUCCGCGUGUAGCAGUGAAAUGCGUAGAUAUGCGGAGGAACACCGAUGGCGAAGGCAAUCCCCUGGACCUGUACUGACGCUCAUGCACGAAAGCGUGGGUAGCAAACAGGAUUAGAAACCCCGGUAGUCCCAUGAU
This 477-nucleotide ribosomal RNA is filed under the name uncultured organism. Its description in RNAcentral is "partial 16S ribosomal RNA". It matches the Rfam family "Bacterial small subunit ribosomal RNA", at positions 333 to 801 of the family's 1533-position model. The record is from RNAcentral.